Molecule: small RNA, 124 nt
Filed under: Marmota monax (woodchuck)
Lineage: Eukaryota; Metazoa; Chordata; Mammalia; Rodentia; Sciuridae
Source: RNAcentral
GCUGGGCACAGUGGUGCGCACCUGUAAUCCCAGUGGCUCGGAGGCUGAGGCAGGAGGAUCGAAAGUUCAAAGCCAGCCUCAGCAAUGGAGAGGCGCUAAGCAACUCAGUGGGAUCCUGUCUCUA